This 304-nucleotide ribosomal RNA is filed under the name uncultured bacterium. RNAcentral's name for it is "partial 16S ribosomal RNA". It matches the Rfam family "Bacterial small subunit ribosomal RNA", at positions 506 to 807 of the family's 1533-position model. The record is from RNAcentral.
CAGCAGCCGCCGCGGGAAUACGUAGGGUGCGAGCGUUAAUCGGAAUUACUGGGCGUAAAGCGUGCGCAGGCGGUUGUGUAAGACAGGUGUGAAAUCCCCGGGCUUAACCUGGGAACUGCGCUUGUGACUGCACAGCUAGAGUAUGGCAGAGGGGGGUGGAAAUCCACGUGUAGCAGUGAAAUGCGUAGAGAUGUGGAGGAACACCGAUGGCGAAGGCAGCCCCCUGGGCCAAUACUGACGCCCAUGCACGAAAGCGUGGGGAGCAAACAGGAUUAGAUACCCCGGUAGUCCCUGUCUCUUAUAC